RNAcentral lists this ribosomal RNA (468 nucleotides) under uncultured bacterium. RNAcentral describes it as "partial 16S ribosomal RNA". It matches the Rfam family "Bacterial small subunit ribosomal RNA", at positions 28 to 507 of the family's 1533-position model. The record is from RNAcentral.
GACGAACGCUGGCGGCGUGCUUAACACAUGCAAGUCGAACGGAAAGGCCCUGCUUUUGUGGGGUGCUCGAGUGGCGAACGGGUGAGUAACACGUGAGUAUCCUGCCCUUGACUUUGGGAUAACUUCAGGAAACUGGGGCUAAUACCGGAUAGGAGCUCCUGCUGCAUGGUGGGGGUUGGAAAGUUUCGGCGGUUGGGGAUGGACUCGCGGCUUAUCAGCUUGUUGGUGGGGUAGUGGCUUACCAAGGCUUUGACGGGUAGCCGGCCUGAGAGGGGGACCGGCCACAGUGGGACUGAGAUACGGCCCAGGCUCCUUCGGGAGGCAGCAGUGGGGAAUAUUGCACAAUGGGCGGAAGCCUGAUGCAGCAACGCCGCGUGCGGGAUGACGGCCUUCGGGUUGUAAACCGCUUUCGCCUGUGACGAAGCGUGAGUGACGGUAAUGGGUAAAGAAGCACCGGCUAACUACGUG